GUUGGGCCUUGGAAGAGAAUAGGGAAUCGGGUGCAACUCCCGAGCGGUACCGCCACUGUGAGCGCGGAGGUUCCGGCAUGAGGUGAAAACCGGUCAUUGGAUUUUUCCGAGAAGACGUUUGCCGAGAGCUGAGGAUGCGUGAGCCAGGAUACCUGCUGAAACG
RNAcentral lists this non-coding RNA (163 nucleotides) under uncultured Faecousia sp. The record is from RNAcentral. Lineage: Bacteria; Bacillati; Bacillota; Clostridia; Eubacteriales; Oscillospiraceae.